AUCAAAAGUAUGUAUUGACAUACGUAUAGUGGUCAAAGAGUUCUUAUAUUUUGGGAUGGAGGGAGUAUAAACUCAUAUCUUGCCGGAGUUUAUAAUGUUAACAUUCAAAUUAAUAAUCAAAUUAAUAAUUUGCCUUCAAUUAAGCACUCAACAUUCAAAUUAUGUUUCAUAACUGUCUGUAUGAAAGUAAAAUCUCCUUUUUUUCUUUCUUUUUUGUGCAAUAAUUUAGUGGAAGUGCAUGUGUUUAUAAACUUAGUAUAUUAUACCAUUCAAUUCCAUUAGUUUCAACUUUUUUCAUUACAUUUUCAUUAAAUACAUAAACCAAAUAUAGACAUAUUAAUUAGCUUUUGAUUUAGCAAAAGAGAAAAAAAAUUAUUAGCUUUUGUUAACCGUUAAUACGAUUGUUCUUCCUUAUAAUCUCUUUUUAUAUUUUGAAAAAAGUUUUGAACUAACCAGUGUAUAUACUGAAAACACGACGAAGACCAAUUUAACUUGAUCACUUGAGUUAACUCGAUCACUUGAGUCAAUGAAAGUCAAAACACAAAAUGUGUCUAAUUGGUUGUCAUAAUCGAUAUAUACUCCACUAGUUACUAUUAUAAACAAAUUUAACUUUUUUGCUACAUUAAAAAAGUGAUAUAUGAAACUCACUUAGGUUGGUCUGGUGGUAUUGGCUUGAGAUCUGGAAGUGUGUUCCUCUCUUAAGAUCUCAGGUUCAAUUCUUUCACUUUGAUAUUUUGGAAGUUAUAAUAGAAGACACAGCUAACAUCGAUUUCUAUUUGAAAGGAUAUGGUUUUAGUUUUUCUUUCAAACAUCAAAUGCACAAUUUCCUCUCUAUGCUAAAUGAUGUCAUAGGAGAGUUAUUAUGAGAUAAAAUAAAAUCUAACACUAUUUUAAGAUAAUAAGAUAAAAUAAAAUCUAACACUAUUUUAAGAUAAUGUAAUAUUUUAUAAAAUUAAAUUUUACCUGAACAUACUCACUCAUUACAUGAGUAAUUUGGAAUUUAUAUCUACCUUGGAGAACAAGUUGACAAGAAAUAAAAAAAAUCCAUAUUAAGAGUUCAAACAUUUUGCAAUGUCUAGGAAAUAAAAAAUUAGGAAAAUUCAGAGAUUCCAUUUAAUUCUAUUAGAUGAAUAACAAAUAACAGAUUAUCAGUUUUCACAUAAUACAUGUUGCUUUUAAAUUCUAAAAAAAUAACAUUUGUAGAAUUGAGCUCUUUAAAGGAGAUGGCAUGACCUACCAAAGGCAUACUUCACAGUUCAUACUAAUACAAGGUGUAAGGAUUAUAUGAAGAAUUAUUGUUGUCCCAUUCCAAUUGCGAAAAUGCCAUGCAAUAAUAGACAAAAAGGGCAACAAAGUACAAACAAUACACAGCAAGCAACACUAUAUAUUUCAUUUCACUUGGAGAAAAAACUUUACAUGUUCUCAACAAUACUAUAUUUGCUAGUUCACUCACUGUCAUACCUACAAAAUUUCUAGCACAUUGGUGAAAAGGCUUCAGCAGCAAGAAAGAAUAUGGUUUCGAUAUUUUAACAAAAGACACUACUACAGUUAUGUUUCCUGAUCCUUCGCAUCAUGAUCUGAGACAGUUCCUUCAGAUGAUACCUCCUCUCCAUGGGGCUGUUCAACCCGGGAGGGAUCUGACUGAGUCUUGCUGGAAUCUCCACUAUCAGGGACUUGUUCUACUUUAUGCUCUUCAGAUGAACUCCAAUUUUCUGGUGAAAUCUGCCUAGGCUUCUUAUUUUUGAAGGCACCUUCCGAGUCUUUGAAUUUGGCUCUGCCAACUGGCCUUGUUGGCAAUGGAAGCUUGCUCUCUUGAAAGCUUGAAGAACUGGGAAUUGAGGGAAGAAGAGGGCCAGGACCAACACAGGAUGCAACCAACUGGAGCACUUCAGGAGAAGGAGACAGUCCUAAGUUUGUCUUUUUCGAUGAGUGUGAUGGGUUUGCCACUUUUAAAUUAAGAGGGGGCAAGUUGAGGUCAGAUUCAAUGUGCUGAGGUCCUGACGGAGUUAGUAGAGGAAAUGGUGGUGGGAAAGGAGUUGAGCUUGAAGCACCAUUAUCACCAUGGUAGCUGCUGUGAAAGUCUGGAGAAUAAUCUGGAAGAAACAGCUUGUGUGAUUUUCUCUUCCUUUUCUUCUUGAGACUACUCCUGGGGUCCUUCGGUAGGGAGAGGGGUGGUCCGGGGAUAACAAAUGGAGGAAUUGUAGGCUUAUCAUCUCCAUAGAGCAUGCGAACUGAAUGAGCAAUGGCUGAUACUGUGGGAGGAAGUUCAGGAUUAGGAAGUUUGACAGGGGAACUCACAGCUUGUCGUAACCAGUGGGGAAGCUUGUCUUUCGAAGAACUACUUCCAGCUAUUUCCUCCCCUUUUGAAUUCAUGUGAUUUGGUUUGAUGGGGUUGGAUAACAAUCCUGAGCUACUCUCAUGCAUGUCGUUCAGUGAUUCAUCCAGAAGUACAGGCAACUUUCCACGCUUGGUGUUUACACGCUCAUCCUCCUGUUGUUGUAUAUUAAUGUUUCCUGAGCAAUUCAAACCUAAAGAACUCAAGCUGCUUGUUCCAAAAGAAUUGAGCAGAAAUGGUCUUUCUGUCGGCACAUUGGAAGAAGUUCCUGGUCUAUCAGAUGUUUCAGCAGAAGCAUCAUCAAGAAACUUUGCUCUGUUUAUAUCAUGGCUCCAAGAUGGAAGAGGUGCAAAGUGAUCAUUUUGCAGACUAGGUCGAUCUAUUGUUCUAAAAUGUGGAAGACCAGUUGCAGGACCACCUAAUCCUAAUUUCAUGUCAGUCAGAUGGUUUUGAAAUUUUGGCGGUAAAAGAAAUUUGCUACCUUGCAAGGCCCUUUCCAUCAUUGCGUCAGAGAUUGGAAAAUGUGAAGAUUUGGUAGUCUUGGUUGUCUUUGAAGAUGAUCUUUGCAUAGGAAAAGCUGGCCCCUGAAAGAUCUUUACUUGUUCCUCCUCCCACCUCACUGAUAAUUCUUCACAUGUUUUAUACUUUGAAAACUUUAACUUGGUAUCUCUGAGCAUGGCAUCCCAAUUACCCCUUCCAUGCCUACGAACACCAAUCCAGAGAGAAUCAAGUUCCUCUUCAGCCCAACCAUCUGAUUUUGACUUCUUUUUUAAUAAGCUACUUGGUCCAGAGCCAGUUCUCAUCAUUAUGUUUUCCAGAACUUUCCGAUGGUUUUCUGGGAAUGAUGAUAAUGUGGUUGGCCUUUGUCCUAAACCCAAGGUAGGAGGCAUAUCCCUGUCUUGCUGAUUAUAUCUAAAUGAAUCUUCUGGGGGUAUUUUGAAAUUAGGUAAUGUUGGCAAUGUUGGGAGGUCUUGCAUAGAUCCAUUCAGAGCUUCAAGUCUGCCUCCUAAAGACAAAUUAGGUAAGAGGUCCGGAUGUGAAUUUGGAAUGCUCUUAGUUGUGAGUGGAAAUCUCGCCAGCAACCUUUCAUCAAAAGGCAGGUUUGGCAGGGCCAUUUUCUCCUGGAAAGUGGAGAAUCUAGCACCUGUACUCUCAAAUGCAUCAGAUUCCUUUCCUUGCAUAGAGGGUGGAAACUGCAACAACAAAAAGACAUCAAUCAUAGUGACACAUGCAUAAAGUCAACCAUAAUUGACAAAAAAAUCUACAAGCAUAUUAAGAGAGCAUACUGGAAGAAAUGGGAGAAAGUUAUCAGAGAUGCUAUUUUUGAAACUCUGUUGUAAAUUUUCUGUUGAUGCAUCCGAUAGUUUGGUAUUUGCUGUCUUUUCCUUAAUUCUCGCCUCAGCAUCCAUGGAUGUCCCAGUGCAAGGAGCAAGGCUGAAUGGAAACUCUUGUCUGGCAACGUACCUAUUUUGUCUCCAAUUUAACUUUGAAGUGUUACCCUCUGAUGAUUCUAUUUGAUUAGCAUUAGGAGCACAGAGUCCUAGAACGGGCAAUAGAUUGUUGCUUGGCAUAGAGUUUGUCAUGUUAACCCUCCCUUUAUUGUGGUAAUUUGGAGGCAAAAAUUCAGAUAAAGAUCGGCCUGGAUUGUUGACCGAAACAUCGAAGUGAUGGCUCAUUUGAUGUUUUGAAAUCUUCUCGAUCCUCUCAGCAUUGCUAUUUUGAGCUUCUGAAAGUUGAGUAUUUUUGUUGUCCUCUAUGUCGAUAGAAGUUCCUUCUUGAACUGAAUGUAUCGGCUCAGCUCCUAGAUCUCCAUCCUUGGCAAUGACUGGAGGAUGCACGGGUGACUCAGUACCUAGAAGUCCUUCAGCAGGAUGUGAUUCUUUAACUGCAUUCCUCUGAGCAAGUCGUUCCUUCUGCCGAGCACGGAGUUUAGCACUGUUGAUCAUUCACAAGUACAAUAUUUCAGCAAUAAGGACCUAUUUUAUCAUGAAUCUAAAAAACGUCGGAUAUAACAGUGUCAAUCAAACUACCAAAAUACAUGAAUAUUUUGGCCAAUGUGUUUGAAAAUCACCAAUUAGAGUGAAAUGAUUUAAACCUAAAAUGUUUGAGUGCUCAAACUACCACCAUCUUUGUGCAACAACAAAAAAACUACCAUGAUCAAUUUAUCAUUCGCAUGCAAGAUUUGCUAAGAGCUCCAGGUAAGUCGAUUCCAGAAGUCAAAAUUACAGCAUAAAGGGUUUAUAUUAACACAUCCUUUUUGAAAAUAUACCAGAACACUCUUAAAAAAAACAAACUUCCUCAAUACAAUGCAUUCUGAAAGAAUUGGUAUUGCAUGUUGAGUUGAGAACAGGAAACAUUGGGAGACAACAAAAAAGAAUUUCUGAAUAUUCUUUGUAUUCUGAACUAUGAUGGUGAGUGCUAUACUCGGAAUUAUUUAGUGUAUUGAAUCGGUCACGGUUGUAACUGACACUAACUCCUAACCGCUAUAACUAAUCAGAUCAAUGCACACACAUAAUACAGCGAGCAAGAGUACAGAGGAUCAUAACCAAAUAGCACCUAAUACAUAUACCCCCUCCUGCACACUGUUAAAAGAAACCCGAUGAAAGACACCUAAGCAGAAUACCAGAAAGAAGCCAUAAAAACAACCAACGGUACUGAUGACAUGUUCAACCUUUAUUAUCAUGUCUAAUAAGUUUAAUGUAAUUCAGAAAGCUUGAAAAAUAGAACAUACAAUUUUGCCUUCAGGGCUCGUCCUGCCGGUGUAUAUUCACGCUCAGGUUCUGGUACUUUUUCCUCCUCAACGCCACUCUGGUUGAACAUGCACAUCAAUAGAAAAUGUUAAAAAAGCAUAAUCUCUGCCAGGAAGAAUAAAAAUAAGAAACUAAAAAACCAAAAAGUUGUAAAGCAAAUGAACAAUCUAAAUUACAACAUAAAUUUUAAUGUCAAAUGUAACAACAUUCCAUAACUAUGCAUGUUAUUGUUUAGAGAGUCAUAUGAUCACACUAAAGAAACCAAUUCAAACCUAGCUAAAUUCUUGAAGGUGUCAGAUAUGAUGUAAAAUGUUGUGAUCCUUAUCACAGAGCUAUUUAAAUCAGAAAGCAUAUAUACAGCAAGAUGCUACCAGUCAGAAACUAGUAUCUGAAGAAACAAGAAGUUCUAGUUUGACAAAAUCCAUAAAAGCAUUUGAUCAAUGAGAAAGAAGGAAGCCCUAAACCUAGCUUAACCAAUCAUAAAUUUGAUUAACUUGAAUAACUGAGAAAAACAUAUGGGAAGAUGUUUUGAGAUUUUAUCAGAAACAAACACUUCUCAUCAGUCACCAUCUCCCAAUUAGAAUUAAUACAGCUUAUUAAGAAAUAGACUCUACUUACUAGCAGAAAGAAAGCAAAUUACCUCAGUCACUGCUUCAAUUGGGUGUGGAGCGUAUACUUCUCUAUAAGAAACAGCUUUCCUCUGCCGCUUCCCUCGACCAAGAGCUGCUUCCUCCUCACUCUGAUAUUUCUCCCACCUACAAACCAGAUUAAAUGUACAAUAAAAUCCAAGCUAAGACAUUAGUCACACCACUUGAUGGCUAACUAUGCUAUCCAAAUGCAUGCAGCACAAAAAUAAUCAUUUGUCAUUUAUAAAGAAAAAACCUGUUCAGGUUUUACUUAGAAGAUUUUCAUUUAUAAAAAGUGGUUUCUUGUAAAUUAAUCAUAGCUCCUUCACCAUCAUGAUCAAACAGUUCAUUGCAUGCUACUUCAGUUCUCAUAAGUAAUUACAUGUAAAAAACAAGUAUUGUUCAGCCUGCAUUUUGAUUUCACGUGAUGGCCAUGUUUAAAUACAACUGAUUCCUGGGCCUUCUGUCUUCAUUUGACCACUAAAGCUUGUAUACAAAAAAGCAGUUUUACUAAAAGAGAAACUAAGAGAAUUAAAGACAGAAUACAAGGAUCAAGACUAAUCCUUAAUGGAUGUGAAUUGUGAAACAAAGGAAGAAAACAAGGAAAAGAACAAUAAAUCACCUCAAAAGAUGUACUCAUUUUCUUGGAAUAUAAACAAACCUCCAUAAAGAAAAUGAAAAAGUUGAAUUUCUGUGUCUAAUCAGACCACAAAAGGCCGUAUUUAUAAUGUAUUUACAAAUUAAUCUGAUUGCCAAUUCUAAUGCUAUUUGGCGACUAAUUUGGGAUUCUACAGCUAUGCAUAUUUCACAUGUGACUAACUACACAAACCAUGUGACUAAUUCUAACAGAAACCUUGAAGCAAAAAAAACCCAAAGAUUGACAAAACCUAAGCCUCAUGCCAACAGAGGCAAGUAAAACUAGUCUAAAUGGGUAUCAUAAACCUCUGCUUUCAUUUUCUGACAAGGAGGUACUGCCCUGCCCUCAUCUACAGUGCUCUCUGGCAACAAAAGCAUCUCUCACGUUCAUAUUUUAAGUUCAUAAUGGACCUUAAAAUGACAUUUUUCAUUAUUAUUAAAUAGAUAUUUUCUUAUACAGCAUAGUCAUUUAUACAGAACUUGGAAAUUGUGAAAUAGAAGCUCCUUACCUCAAACGCAAUAGUCGGUCCCAUUCAUUUUCUUCACCGCCAAUCACUGCAUUAUCCUCUUUCUUCUCAGAGUUUUGUGCACACGUUUCAUCAGUUCCAUGAGGAGGGGAUUCACCCUCUACAUGUUCUUCAGUCGGUUCGUCAUUCCACUCAGGGGCCUACAUAAGAAAAAAUCAACCAUGAUAAGGGGCAGAGCAUUUAAUAUAUUCACCUGUAUCUACGAGCAUGGUGAUACGAUCAAAUUAAGAGUACAUAAAAUGUAGGUUAUGUUUUUGUACAAAAUCUAGUUUCCAGACAAUUUUAUCUCUCUUCUCGUGUAAGAAAUUCAAAGAACCAAAUAAAUACUGUAUCUACUAGAUCUUAGUCAAUUACUUCACCUUCAUUGAGCCCAGCAUAUCAUUCUCAGAAUCCCCUUCAGCAAUAUCAGUUGAAGCAUCUUGAAGGUUUGAACGAUCAAGCAAUUUUAAAAUGGCAUUUUCAUCCCACAAAAUCUUGCUGCUGCUAUCUGUACACUUAUCCUCGUAUACGUCACCAAGACCACCAGUCCUCUUCCGAUGCUUAUGUUCUAUAUCUGCUACUGCCUCAUCUUUGUUACUAUUAUUAUUCUCACUUGUAUCUUUUCCAUUUAGUCCACAAGAGUUAUUGAAGAGUUCUUCAGUUCCCCAUUUUAAAAUAUCUUCUACUUCUUUUUGAGAUCCAGAUUUACCUUUAAAAAGCUGAUCAAGCAUCAAUUUCUUUUUAGCAAGCUGCAAGAUACGCUCUUCAACGCUGGCACGAACCACAAGCCGGUAUACUAAAAGUCUAUUUGAUUGCCCAAUUCUGUGUGCUCGAUUCAUUGCUUGGAUAUCUGCAUGAGGGUUGAAAUCAGAAUCAUAGAUGAUGACAGUGUCAGCAGUGGCCAAAUUUAUCCCAAGUCCACAAGAUCGGGUUGAUAGUAGGAAAACAAAUCGACUUUUGUCUUGGUUGAAGCGUGCAAUUGCUGUCUGACGAUCUGCUACAGACACAGAGCCAUCCACUCUCUCAUAUGUUUUAGGCCCAAAUUCGAUAUUCAAAUAGUCCUCCAGGAUGUCAAGAAGCUUUGUCAUUUGUGAGAAAAUAAGAACUCUAUGACCUUCCUUAUACAAAAUCUUUAGCAUAGAAUGCAGAAGAGUCAACUUAGCUGAAGCCUUUAUUCUCAUUUCAUGAAGGAACUCAACAGAUCCAGAGUCGGGCUCAGUUCCUGGUAUGAGAUAUGGAUGAUUGCAGACCUUCCUCAGUUGCAUCACAAUGUUCAGCAUAGAUUGCUGAGGAAUACCUUUCCCAAUGUUCCGCAAUAUUUGAUAAUUCUUUGUAAGCAUUGCACGAUAAUAUUCAGCUUGGAUGGAUGACAACUCAACAGGAACCAUUCUUUCUGUCUUGGGAGGAAUAUUUUGCAUGGCAUCCUUUUUAAGUCUGCGAAGCAUAUGAGGAGAAACUAGUUUUUUCAAUUCAUCAACUUUCUCUGCACUUGUAAGAUCAUUAAAUCUCUCCUCAAAUGAAGAUAGGGAAGGAAAUGAUGCUGGCUGUAAGAAAUUAAGCAAGUUGUACAUCUCACCAAGGUUGUUCUGGAGAGGGGUGCCCGUCAACAGAACACGGUGUUGAAAAGAGAUUGAAUUUAGCAAGCUGAACAGCUUACUUUCUGAAUUCUUCAGUCGAUGACCCUCGUCAACAACAAGAACUUCCCAAGGAACUACCCGAAAAUGUGAAUAAUCGGCAAGGACCAUUUCAUAUGAAGUCAAAAGCACAUUAAAUUUAUAGGCUUCUGUUUUCUUAUUCAAUCCAGUUGGAUCGCUUGCAUGCCAUUCAUACUGCCUAAUUAUGGCUCUUGCUUUUGCACAGCCAUGAUAUUGAACAACAUUUACAUCUGGAGCCCAUAAUGAAAAUUCAGCAAGCCAAUUACCCAUUGUGACAAGAGGUACUAGGACCAAACAAGGACGUGAAACUUUGAAUUCAAAAUACAAAGAUGAAAUAAAAGCACAAGCAGAUAUUGUUUUCCCAAGCCCCAUCUCAUCAGCAAGUAUCACAUUCUUGGACUUAUACCAGCAUUUACGCAACCAGUUCAGAGCCUCAAGCUGAUGGGGAAACAAAGAACCACCUUUUAGCUCUUUAGGUUGCUCUGCAAGAUUAACUAUAUCAUUCUGACGGUCACUGCUUCUUUUAGUUGAAUUUUCCUUUGAUGCAUCCCUUUCAAAUGUGAGAGUUUCAAACAUUUUAAAACGUGUAAUCAAAUGAGAAGAAUUUUGAAGCACAGGUUCAUCUAAACUUUCCCAAGUGCACUCAUCAUAAGGUUUUCCAGUCCACUUAACAAAUGCUUCAGAUGCUCCAUGUUUGGAAUUGCGAAUAGCAAGCAACCUCUCCGGAUUCUUCCAUUGUUCCUCACAAAUAUUUAUUGUCGCUGUUCCAUAUUUUGCCUUGUAAUUUUCUAGUUUUCUCUUUGCAAUAACUUUUAAGUGGGAUUCAGAAAUCCAACUAUUAUGAAUGUAAGACUUUCCUACCCACUUAACUAAAAAUUCAUAGGAAACUUUCUCUCCAUUUGGACAAGCAGAUUCAACCCCAAUAGCAUCCUGAACUUUAUUAUCAACACUGUUACCCAUUCCCUUCUCCACAUCCACUUCCUUUUGUUUAGUUUUAAGAGAGUCAUGCAUCUCACAAUCUUUUGGAAGCUCACUGUCAUCUCUUAAAACAACAUCAAGAUUCUCUUCUGUCUCCAACAUGGCAUUUGCCUUUUCCAAUUGUUCAGCAGAUACCUCAUAAUCAUCCUGAUCUGUACCAUCCCUGGCACAGGAGCCUAAAUCAUCAGUGGCUUUACUCGAUGAAUUUAUGAGAUUUCCAUUUUUAUUUUCCUUUGUUAUUGAUCUCUUGUAUACCUGAAUUUUUUCCACUCUAUCGGUGGUUUUCAACUUUCCUUCAUCAGAACUUUUGACAUUUAGAGGAUCAUCAAGAUUUUCUGCUAUUUCAACAUCCACGUCAUUAUCACAAGCAGAAUUAUCUUCAACUAGCUUCUGGUUUUCUGACAUUACCAGAUCGCCGGAAGGUGAGUCAUCCCCAGCUUUCAAGGAUAAGUGACGUAUGGAGUUUGUGUCCUCACCUUGUAUUCGACACCCUAAGACUCGAUCAACCUGUGAGAUGGAUACAAAAGUAAAAAAGAAGACAUGAUAAUCAUAUACAAGAUAACAAGGAAGGCAAUUUCUUCAACAGAUGUGUAUAGAUGGUUACCUGCAGAGAUUCAAGAAUAGCACUGUCUUCAUUCAUUAAAGUUCCGUCCAACUGGCUUCCUGCUUUAUCAAGCUCAUUUGAUGUGUCUUUCAUUACCUGAGAGAACUUCUGCACCCAAGCAAAAGCAAAUAAUGCUUACAUUACAGCUAAACGCAAAUGCAAUAUCACAUCAACAAUAAUAUACUCUAAAUCUCAGCUAGCAUAUCAAUAUAUAUGAAGGAUAAGAUAGAAGGAUUAAUAAAUUCAGAAAGUAAACUUAAUAUGCUUUAUCACAUCAUAAAUGCUUUGAAACCUAUAAAACACAGCUACUGAUAUUCCUAAAUCUAACCCAAUGACACAAACCUAAAAAAAAUCUCACUAAAGAAAUGUCUAGAUCUGAUAUGUUCAAACUUGCUCUUAUACAAUAUAUGGUGAAUGUAUUUAUAGAGAUCAUCUCAUACAAUAGUUAUCUCCGGUAUUCUAGUCAUUAAUCAAAUGCUAGUGUGUUGUCAAUCUGCACUCUCAUACUUUGUUUUUGCAUUCAAGGAUAUGUUCCCUCCAACAUUUUGAGCAAGAUGAUCAAAUAUGCAGUAUCACAUGAGGUAGAGCAAUACAAAGUUGGAACCUACCUUCGUGAUAAGGAAAGUAAUAUGCUACUUUUUCACUCAAUAUUUUCCCUUCAUUUUCUGAAAUGUCUUGACCUUACAUUUUGUACAUAUGGAAAAGUAAAACUUCCAGAAAUAGUUCACCUUCCAGAGUUGGUAGAAUGUCAUUUAAAACAUGUUGCAAUUACUUCAACUGAUGACAAUGAUUGUGGUAAGCCGUUCUUAGAAUCAAAGAAGCUUAGUAUUGGCUCGCAUUAGUCAAUGACUAAAGUAUUAAGCUUCUUUGAUUCUAAGAACGGCUUAGCACAAUCAUUGUCAUAACGUGAAGUAAUUGCAAUCCGUUUUAAAUGGCAUUCUACCAACUCUGGAAGGUGUAUUGUUUCUAGAAGUUUUACUUACUCAUGUACGAAAUGUAAGGUCAAGACAUUUCGGAGAAUGAAGAGAAAAUAUCGAGUGAAAAAUUAGCAUAUUACUUCCCUUAUCACAAAGGUAGGUUCCAACUUUUGAAUUGUUCUACCUGAUGUGAUAUUGCGUAUCUGAUCAUCUUGCUCAAAAUAUUUAAGGGAACAUACCCUUGGUGCUCUACAUCUACUACAAUAUUACACAGCCUACAAUGUGGGAAAUACAUUCAAGCUUUACUUUUUCCUAGCUGAAAGCUUACAGCAGCCUGGGAUAUGGGAAAUGCGUAGAAAUUAACAAAUGAAAAUAAACUUGAGCAUUGAAGGCAGAUUAUGCGACUUAUGCCUUUUAAAAAAAGAUACACUUGUUGCAAAACGAUUCAUAUCAAAGAUCUUUCACAUUGCUGAUUUGAGUCAUCAGAAUUGAAGGCAACAAUCGUAACCCUUUCAUAAUUUGGGCAAAAUGAUUCAUUUUAAAGAUCUUCUCUGUUGCCGAUUUGAGUCAUCAGAAUUGAAGGCAACAAUCAUUAACCCUUUCAUAAGUUGGACAUCGCAGAUGCAUUCUUAAUGAAGUUCCAAUAAAUGCAUGAAGUGCCGCAAAAAUAGCAUUUCACUUGCAUAUGGUAUGAAUAUAAUAGGGAAGGCAAGUACGGAAGUACGAUUAGUAUUUCAUUUGAUAUAGUCCCCCAUGGUCCAAAAUUGAUGUCAUGCGGGGUGAAAAGGACAAUUCUUGAUUAUUAAAAAUAAAGGACAAUUCUUAAACUAUAAACAAUUAAGAUGUUUUAUAGGUUCCUAGAAGUAAACAUCAUAUAAGAAAUUAGAGGCAGAACAAGUACCUUGUCUUUCCGCUGGGCAUCUGAUUUCUUUUUCCCGACAUCCCCUUUUGAUAUAGAUGUAGAAAUUUUGUGCGUUUUGGACUUUUGCUUCUUGUUUACUUUAUUAUUUCCAGACUUUGACUUUAUAGGAGUAAUGACAAACAAUUUCCCCUUUUCAGUCCUAUGCUUCUUUUGAUUAGCAUUAUCAUUAAUAACUUUAAGCUUCCUUUUCCUCAUUUCCUCUCCACCAGCAGUAAUACCAAGAACAAGUGUUUUUCUAAAGGGAAUUUUAUCACAAGAUAAAUCGGGCUUCUCCUCCAGCAGGUCAUCAUUUGCAUCUAAAUUAGUAAUUUUAGAGGGAGAUAAAACUUCCUUAUCAGGUGAAGCUGACACCGCGUCCAUAGGCGAGGCUGUUGGGGACNNNNNNNNNNNNNNNNNNNNNNNNNNNNNNNNNNNNNNNNNNNACUUCCUUAUCAGGUGAAGCUGACACCGUGUCCAUAGGCGAGGCUGUUGGGGACAAGUUCAAGUUCUUGUCAACAGCAUCCACACAUGAUGAAGUUCCUUCCUUGCAACUCUCAAGAGAUGGGUCCAUUGGCUUGUCACUACAAGUUGCAUCCACUGG
RNAcentral lists this long non-coding RNA (12509 nucleotides) under Trifolium pratense (red clover). Its description in RNAcentral is "long non-coding RNA (TPRA_LNC001271)". Lineage: Eukaryota; Viridiplantae; Streptophyta; Magnoliopsida; Fabales; Fabaceae. The record is from RNAcentral.